UACGUAGGGUGCGAGCGUUGUCCGGAAUUAUUGGGCGUAAAGAGCUUGUAGGCGGUUUGUCGCGUCUGCUGUGAAAAUCCGGGGCUCAACCCCGAGCCUGCAGUGGAUACGGGCUAGCUAGAGUGCGGUAGGGGAGACUGGAAUUCCUGGUGUAGCGGUGAAAUGCGCAGAUAUCAGGAGGAACACCGGUGGCGAAAGCGGCUCUCUGGACCACAACUGACGCUGAGGCGCGAAAGCUAGGGGAGCAAACAGG
Molecule: ribosomal RNA, 253 nt
Filed under: uncultured bacterium
Lineage: Bacteria
Description: partial 16S ribosomal RNA
Rfam family: Bacterial small subunit ribosomal RNA
Source: RNAcentral